RNAcentral lists this microRNA precursor (78 nucleotides) under Schistosoma margrebowiei. RNAcentral's name for it is "mir-3492 microRNA precursor family". It matches the Rfam family "mir-3492 microRNA precursor family". The record is from Rfam by way of RNAcentral. Lineage: Eukaryota; Metazoa; Platyhelminthes; Trematoda; Strigeidida; Schistosomatidae.
AGCCUUCUGAACCCAUGUUUAGAUUUCGUUACACACCACACCACCAGGACUGACGAAACUCCCAAGAUGAGUGAAGUG